ACGCCUGUAGCUCAAAAGGAAAGAGCAGCUCCCUACUAAGUUGCAGAUCUCGGUUCGAUUCCGAGCGGGCGUA
This 73-nucleotide transfer RNA is filed under the name Bacteroidota bacterium. Its description in RNAcentral is "Bacteroidetes bacterium (activated sludge metagenome) tRNA-Ser". It matches the Rfam family "tRNA". From Rfam's summary of the family: Transfer RNA (tRNA) molecules are approximately 80 nucleotides in length. Their secondary structure includes four short double-helical elements and three loops (D, anti-codon, and T loops). The record is from RNAcentral. Lineage: Bacteria; Pseudomonadati; Bacteroidota.